GUAGGGGGCAAGCGUUGUCCGGAAUUAUUGGGCGUAAAGCGCGCGCAGGCGGUCAUGUAAGUCUGGUGUUUAAUCCCGGGGCUCAACCCCGGAUCGCACUGGAAACUGCGUGACUUGAGUGCAGAAGAGGAGAGUGGAAUUCCACGUGUAGCGGUGAAAUGCGUAGAGAUGUGGAGGAACACCAGUGGCGAAGGCGACUCUCUGGGCUGUAACUGACGCUGAGGCGCGAAAGCGUGGGGGGAGCAAACAGGAUUAGAUACCCUGGUAGUCCACGCCGUAAACGAUGAGUGCUAGGUGUUAGGGGGUUUCGAUACCCUUGGUGCCGAAGUUAACACAUUAAGCACUCCGCCUGGGAGUACGGUCGCAAGACUG
This 372-nucleotide ribosomal RNA is filed under the name uncultured organism. Its description in RNAcentral is "partial 16S ribosomal RNA". It matches the Rfam family "Bacterial small subunit ribosomal RNA", at positions 527 to 896 of the family's 1533-position model. The record is from RNAcentral.